GUGGGUUGUGCUUACCCAAGCGACUAGGUCGCCCUUUAUGUCUAAGAGAAAUGUAAAUUCAUAUUGAUGCAUAUAAAUGGUAGAUGAAUGCAAGAGUUAAAUGCUAGGCGAAUGCAUGUUAAUUGCUAUGCUACGACUACCAUAGAAUGCAUGAUGAACAUAUUAUAGAAAUGCUAAAUAAUGCAUGUGAGCAUAUGGUAAAGAAUGCAUGUUAAUGACAUAAUGUAAAUAUGCUUGUUAAUACAUGUAUGAUGACAUGAUGAGAAAAUGCUAGAUUAAAUGCAUAUUAACAUGUUGUAGAUCAUGUGAGAAAGAUUAUGCAUGUUGGCAUCACAUAAUGCAUGCUAGAUAAAAUGUGGAUAGUUAUGGAACUCGACAUGGACAAUUAGGAUGUCAAAUAGAUCGAGUGGCACUUAACCUAGUGUUAAAGAACAUAGGUUGUGAAUGAAUCUAGAGUCAUAUGAACUAGAUCGAGUGGCAUCCAACCUAGUGUAUUAAACAUAGGUUGAACAGGAAUGACAAUGUACCUAGUGUUAUUAAACAUAGGUCGAGUGGCAUCUAACCUAGUGUUAAAGAACAUAGGUUGAGAAUAAACCUAGAGUUAACUAAAUCUAGGUGUGUGGCAUUAACCUAGUGUCGUGAACAUAGGUUAUGGAUUGAACCUAGAGUUAAAGUAAACCUAGGUUAUGUGAUAGAGACAUUGAACCUAGAGUCAAGAGGGCCUAGAUAGUAAAGAACAACGGACCUAGAUAGGUUGAUAUUAUAGGGUUUGAGACCAAUCCUUGAGCUAUGUGAAGUGGAUUCCGGAAUCCCUAGGAAAGAUGGCUGCUAGUGCAGCGAAUGAGAUUUGCGACUGAGCGCAAGUGAAUCAAGACUGUGGGUAUAUUGGUUCUCCUCGCCCGACAGUCAUUCAACGGGUAUGUUGGUUCUCCUCGCC
RNAcentral lists this long non-coding RNA (937 nucleotides) under Ananas comosus (pineapple). Its description in RNAcentral is "long non-coding RNA (ACOM_LNC038497)". Lineage: Eukaryota; Viridiplantae; Streptophyta; Magnoliopsida; Poales; Bromeliaceae. The record is from RNAcentral.